UCUGCCACCGAAUACAUUAGCAUGGGAUAAUGGAAUAGGACCCUGUCCUCCUAUUUUCAGUUGGUUUUGGCAGCGCGAGGACUAGGGUAAUGAUUAAUAGGGAUAGUUGGGGGCAUUAAUAUUUAAUUGUCAGAGGUGAAAUUCUUGGAUUUAUGAAAGAUUAACUUCUGCGAAAGCAUCUGCCAAGGAUGUUUUCAUUAAUCAAGAACGAAAGUUAGGGGAUCGAAGACGAUCAGAUACCGUCGUAGUCUUAACCAUAAACGAUGCCGACCAGCGAUUAGGAGACGUUGAAUACAAAACACCACCAUCGGCGCGGUCGUCCUUGGCGUCUCGGUCCUUCACGGGGCCGGGGCGCGGGGGCGGCUUAGCCCGGUGGCACCGGUGAAUGACUCCCCUA
RNAcentral lists this ribosomal RNA (397 nucleotides) under Acanthamoeba sp. AH-2009. Its description in RNAcentral is "SSU rRNA". The stretch from base 1 to 338 matches the Rfam family "Eukaryotic small subunit ribosomal RNA", at positions 788 to 1115 of the family's 1831-position model. Lineage: Eukaryota; Discosea; Longamoebia; Acanthamoebidae. The record is from RNAcentral.